GACGAACGCUGGCGGCGUGCUUAACACAUGCAAGUCGAACGGAAAGGCCUGCUUUCCCUUGUGGAUUGCGGGUACUCGAGUGGCGAACGGGUGAGUAACACGUGAGUGAUCUGCCCCCAACUUGGGUAUAAGCCUGGGAAACUGGGUCUAAUUCCCGAUAGGACUGCAGGGUGGUGCCUGUGGUGGAAAACGAUUUUCUAGUGGUUGGGGAUGAGCUCGCGGCCUAUCAGCUUGUUGGUGGGGUAAUGGCCUACCAAGGCGGCGACGGGUAGCCGGCCUGGGAGGGUGGACGGGCACAUGAGGACUGAGAUACGGCCCAGACUCCUACGGGAGGCAGCAGUGGGGAAUAUUGCACAAUGGGCGGAAGCCUGAUGCAGCGACGCCGCGUGGGGGAUGACGGCCUUCGGGUUGUAAACUCCUUUCGACCGCGAGGAAGCCACCUGGUUGGAAGGGUGGUGACGGUAGUGGUAGAAGAAGCACCGGCUAACUACGU
Molecule: ribosomal RNA, 493 nt
Filed under: uncultured bacterium
Lineage: Bacteria
Description: partial 16S ribosomal RNA
Rfam family: Bacterial small subunit ribosomal RNA
Source: RNAcentral